This 1305-nucleotide unclassified non-coding RNA is filed under the name Hevea brasiliensis (rubber tree). The record is from RNAcentral. Lineage: Eukaryota; Viridiplantae; Streptophyta; Magnoliopsida; Malpighiales; Euphorbiaceae.
AAGAAAGAGAGAUGGAACAAAGCUUUCAUAACAUGGUAAUUUCACCUUUCAGUGCCUUGCUUUUUAUAGGAAUUGCAGGGUCACUGCAGCAAAAUAUUACAUGUAAAACACAACUAGGACUUACUGAACGAAAAUUGAAACAACAACUUAUUUGAACUUCUAUUCCUUAGUAGAUAGAGCAACAACAACAAUAACAACGCCUUAUUGGAGCUUCUGUUCUUAGUAGACGGAGCAGCAACAACAAUGAGGACUUACUGAACCUUACUAUUUUUGGUAAGAAAUUCGAGCACGAGUUGAUUAACCUCGUCAGGUAGUUGUUCUUGAACAAAAUGGUUUCCUUCUGGCAAGUUAACUAUCUGCAGAUUAGGGACUAAACUUUUGAGGACUCCACUACUAAUGUAAUCUUCGAUGCCUGGAAAUUUGAGGAAAUAAUCUUUCUCUCCCUUAAUAUACAGUGCUUGAACGUGAACGGUUGGAUCUGUUAUGUUGACUUGUUCAUGCAGUGACCUAUAGGGAACCUGCAAUGCAGUUCGGAAUCCAGAUUUUUCGUACAAAGCUCCAUACGCAGCCAGGUCUUCCUCGGAGAACCAAGGGGGCAGAGGAGUUGAAGGUUGCACAAUGUCCAUGAUUUCCUGAUCUUCAUUGGCUAUUGGUAAUUCACUUCUGGAGAAAAGAAUGUAUACAUUCCUCACUACUGUUUUGGCGUCAAGACGACCAAAAUCAGCUUCAGCUCUCCCAGGUAUCCCAAAUCUCGAAAUAUAGAAUCCUUCAGGGAGGCCUUUUUUAAACUCAAGAGGUUUUGGAGGCAAAAAUGGCACCCCCAUAACAAUAAAUCCAGAGACUCUCUCCUUGUGGAGAAUGGAAAAAUACGAAAUGACAAAAGAUCCAAAGUCUUUACCAACGAGAAAAACCUUAGAGAUAUUAAGAGCAUCAAGAAGUGCAAGGAGGUCACUGACAAGAUCGAGGAAUGUGGUUUUCUCGGGUUGGGUUGGUUGAUCCGAUAACCCAUAUCCUCUGUAAUCGGGUGCAAUAGCUCUGUAACCCGCUUUAGCUACAGCUUUCAUCUGGUACCUCCAAGAAUACCAAAUUUCAGGGAAUCCAUGUAAGAACACCACAACUGGAGAAAACCCACUUCCAAUUUCAGCUAUAUGGAGCUUUAGACCAUUCACUUCAAUGUAUUUGUGCUCUAUUUCUUCCAUUUUUUGCUUUAUUUGUAAGAAGAUUGAUCAAGUUUGUAUGGGAUUUUAUAAUAACUUUAGUAGAGUGACUUCAUAUAAUAGUCUUUUCUUUAAUUGUUUAAUUUUU